RNAcentral lists this long non-coding RNA (288 nucleotides) under Rattus norvegicus (Norway rat). Its description in RNAcentral is "long non-coding RNA NONRATT000885". The record is from RNAcentral. Lineage: Eukaryota; Metazoa; Chordata; Mammalia; Rodentia; Muridae.
GGGGUCUGUACUUACUGUAGCCGUGAGAUCCAAGACUGUCCGAAGAUUACCCUUGAACAUCUUGGCAUCUGCUGCCAUGAGUAUUGUUUUAAGUGUGAGAUUUGCAAUAAACCAAUGGGAGAUCUCCUAGAUCAGAUCUUUAUUCACCGUGACACCAUCCACUGUGGGAAAUGCUAUGAGAAGCUCUUCUAGGCUGAACAGAAGCUGAUGAUCCCCAGCUGUCUUUGGCUGUCCAGUUGACCCAAAUUGUUGGCUCCUCCUCCCUUAUAUCCUCCAUGGUUCCACUGU